This is a long non-coding RNA of Homo sapiens (human), 460 nucleotides long. The record is from Ensembl. NCBI's taxonomy places the organism in Eukaryota, Metazoa, Chordata, Mammalia, Primates, Hominidae.
UGAGAAUUCACAUUAACCAGUGAUUAAGAAAUAUUAAAAAGGGCUGAUAGUCCACUACGUUAUCAAGUUCAAAGCCUAAGAAAUAUUGAACAUUUCCACACAUGAAUGUGGGUACUAUGUUUAAUUUGAGAAUGGCCAACUGUCCUCGAAGUCUCAAUCUCUUUGGAGCCUACCAGCUCCGAGAGAAGUUUGAGGAUGCUGCAAAACCCUCCCCUGCAAAUCCAUCUACUCCUCCCACUUCUAUCCUAAUGGGUAUAGUUCUUGGCUGUGCUGAGGAUCUGUAAGGCACCAGAUGUGAAAAUGAAACUAUGGCUCAAAAGGGAAUAAGAGAUCAAGGCAAGCAUGGACAUCUUGUACGUGGAAGUGCAGACCAGAACUUGUAUCACAGCCAGUCAUAUCUGGUGCUUUCCAUGCUACUUUUACAUACAUGUAUCCUUAAAUUUGAUCCUCUUCUAGUUUA